RNAcentral lists this ribosomal RNA (148 nucleotides) under uncultured fungus. Its description in RNAcentral is "partial 5.8S ribosomal RNA". The record is from RNAcentral. Lineage: Eukaryota; Fungi.
AACUUUUCCAACCAAACGGAUCCUCCUUGGCCCUUCUCCGGCAUUUCGAAUUGAANGAAAACCGACAAGGCCGAAAAAAUGGNCGAAAUUAAAGGUUAAAAUUGGUUGGAAAAUUUGGGCCCGAAAAAUUUCCAAGGGUGGGAAAAUU